Molecule: ribosomal RNA, 497 nt
Filed under: uncultured bacterium
Lineage: Bacteria
Description: partial 16S ribosomal RNA
Rfam family: Bacterial small subunit ribosomal RNA
Source: RNAcentral
GAUGAACGCUGGCGGCGUGCCUAAUACAUGCAAGUCGAGUGAACAGAUGAGGAGCUUGCUCCUCUGACGUUAGCGGCGGACGGGUGAGUAACACGUGGAUAACCUACCUAUAAGACUGGGAUAACUUCGGGAAACCGGAGCUAAUACCGGAUAAUAUAUUGAACCGCGUGGUUCAAUAGUGAAAGACGGUUUUGCUGUCACUUAUAGAUGGAUCCGCGCCGCAUUAGCUAGUUGGUAAGGUAACGGCUUACCAAGGCAACGAUGCGUAGCCGACCUGAGAGGGUGAUCGGCCACACUGGAACUGAGACACGGUCCAGACUCCUACGGGAGGCAGCAGUAGGGAAUCUUCCGCAAUGGGCGAAAGCCUGACGGAGCAACGCCGCGUGAGUGAUGAAGGUCUUCGGAUCGUAAAACUCUGUUAUUAGGGAAGAACAAAUGUGUAAGUAACUAUGCACGUCUUGACGGUACCUAAUCAGAAAGCCACGGCUAACUACGUG